AUGCCAGCAGCAUCUAUUUGUUGGGUUAUUUAUGUAAGCAUUUAUGACAAUGACCUAUCUGUGACCUACAGACUUGAAAUACCAAGUCAGAGCUCAACUAUCUGGGGGGGGAGGUUUAAAAAAUGCCUCCUCAGUCACUCCAAGAGAAAAUCAAUCUUGCCUGUAUUAUGUUCCCUAGGAGAAUUGGAAAUGGCGUUCAUCAGAGGAGUCUCUUCCCUCAAUUCCAGGGGGAUUUCAGGUUUCCUAUUCAUACUUAAACAUUGCGUCUCUGGUAAUAGCUGUUGUAAAAGAGAGAGCUCCUUUCUUCUGGAUAACAGGCGGCUCGUCUUCAAAGGCUCCUGUGUGCUAAAAGUUCCCAUUAUACCUGAACAGAGGAGUUGUCGAUUUUGUAUCCCUUCUUGUCUGGCCGAGGGCUGCUCCUUGACAUAGCCAAGAAUAGAAAUGGGGAGAAGAGAAGCAAGCUGAAGUUGCCUGGUCGGCGUCAAGGUGGCGCGAACUUCCCAGCAUCAAACGCGAACCUUUCCUGUCUGUGGAGCAGCAGCGUUCGCAAACUCUGCUUUGCCCCCCAAAAAUCUUUCUGGCAGUUACUGAGGACGCCUGAACUUUGUCUCCUAGGCCAGCCUGUCCUGGGGGUUGGGGAGCUGGGGAGUGUCCAGGGGAGGUUGCUGUCAAGCUGGAACCCAACACCUUUUCCCUUGCUCCCCUCUCUAAAACGAAGCCCCACUUAAUCUGCAUGCCUUCUCUGUGACUGGCUAAUUACAGGAAGCCCUGGCUGCGCUGAACUGAAAAGAAGGAAUUCGGAAAGAAGACUUACUAUUUGCCCCUUUUUAUAGCCUGGCUCUGGGCCCCCCUGCUGGCUUCUGUUGUCCUAUUUGUGCUGUUUCCCUAAUGCAGCCCUCUCCCAUCCCCCUCCCCCAAUCCUGCCCAGCGCCCCUGUUAUCCCCCACCCCACCAUCCCCUGGUCAGAUGAAUGCCAGGCCCCUAACAGGCAGCCUUCUGUGGGUUGCUGGAAUUCUUUUCUUUUUCUUUAGGCAGAGGGGGAAAAAAUCUAUUCUACUCUUGCUUUUGCUUUGCUCUUUUAUUUUGUACUAUUUUUUGGGGGAAUGGGGGUAGAAAAACCUCUUGGUAGGUUGCAGCCUCUGGUUUCUUGCUCCCUUUCAUAGAGGACUCUCGCUGCCUGGUUACACCUGCUAAUGAUGGAGGCAGCAGAGCAUAGAAUCCCAGAGAGACUGUUGGACUUAGGCAUACAGACAGACCCCAACUUCCGUGAUACAACUUAGGAGGCUUUGCCUUGGUGAUGAUGCACAUUCAGUCGGAACUGUCCUUAGAGUUGGGAAUUUGAGCCUUUUCCCUCGCUCGUGUUCCUUUCUCCCGAAGCUGGGUAGCAGCAGCCACAGCUCCCAGCAGGGCCCCGCGAAGACUGAGCAACUCACACUCUGCAGGGUGCUGUGUGGCAGAGCUGUGAUGUGCGGUGGAUUUGGUGGACUUAAUGCAUUUUUUACUUCCCCACAUUUUCAAUUUACUGUGGGUUUACUGGAGUGGAACUCAGUUGUACAGUCGAGGAGCGUCAGUAUAUAAGAAUAAAAACAGACUGCAGCAGCCCUGGAAUUUUCUU
This 1615-nucleotide long non-coding RNA is filed under the name Oryctolagus cuniculus (rabbit). RNAcentral's name for it is "lncRNA (ENSOCUG00000037899.1)". The record is from RNAcentral. Lineage: Eukaryota; Metazoa; Chordata; Mammalia; Lagomorpha; Leporidae.